UAAAUAAUGUGAUUUUUUAUUAGUAGGUAUUGCAUAUCAUUUAAAGAAAAUUUUAUAUUAAUAAAAUAUAAAAUUAAAAGGUAGAAAUUUUUAUUAUUUUUGUUGUUUCAUAAUAAAAAUUAUAAAAUUUAGGGUUGAAAAGUCGACUUUUAAGAUAUUUGUUUUAAGUUGUGUUAAUUAUAAGAAAUUUAUAAUUUUGUUAAAUUAAUUUGUUAUAAAAAGUAAAAGUUGAAGUAUUUUUAUAAUUAGUUUUAUAACUGUUUAUUAGUUAAAAUUUAAAAGUUUUUAAAAUAGUUUAAAAUUGUUAAAAUUAUAACAAUUAUAUUAUUUUAAAAUUAGUAAUAAAAAUAAAUUAUUUGAGGUUUAUUCAAUUUAAUAAAAUAACUAAAAAUUUAAUCAAAUGUUUUUUAAAGACUUAGACUUUUAAAUAAAGUUUGCUUCUGCCCGAUGAGAAUAAAUAAAUGGCAGUCUUAGCGUGAGGACAUUAAGGUAGCAAAAUAAUUUGUGCUUUUAUUGAGUUCCAGUAUGAAUGAAGUUAUUGGUUAAAUAUUUUUUUAUUUUUAUAAAGAAUUUAAUUCUAUAUAAAAAAAUAUAGUUAUAGUGACACAAAGAUAAGUCUUCGGAAAUUUUUUUUAAAUUGAUUUCUCGAUGAAAUUAAUUUAAAAUUUUCUAGGGCAGAAUUUUAAAUAAUAAAAUAUUCUAUUAAUAAAUAUAAGAAUUACUCCGGAGUUAACAGAAAAUCAUACUUAAUCUAGUUCUUAUAGUAAAGUAAGUUUUACAUCGAUGUUGUAUUUAAGUUUAUUAAAAAAGGAGAAGAUUUAAUUUUUAAGACUGUUCUUCUUUUAAUUAAUUUAACGUGAUAUUAGUUUAAUUCAUUGUGAGAUAGAAUUGUUUAUCUUGGUUGUUAUUGAUUAGAAAUUUUAAUAGUACGAAAGGAAAAUUAAAAAAAGUUUUAAACUUUUAAAAGAAUUUUAACUUCUUA
This 982-nucleotide ribosomal RNA is filed under the name Cylicodontophorus bicoronatus. RNAcentral's name for it is "16S ribosomal RNA". Lineage: Eukaryota; Metazoa; Nematoda; Chromadorea; Rhabditida; Strongylidae. The record is from RNAcentral.